AUAAAAAAAACCUUGCGGAACCGUUCCGCAAGGUCCUUUCCAGUUUCUUGCCUCCGCGUAGGGCGGAACAAGAAACGGAAAGAAUAAAGAAAAGGGAGAGGAGAAACCGGAGGAAGAACUUAUGGGGAAACGUAAGUCUUCUCCGUCA
Molecule: non-coding RNA, 148 nt
Organism: Geobacillus sp. B4113_201601
Lineage: Bacteria; Bacillati; Bacillota; Bacilli; Caryophanales; Anoxybacillaceae
Source: Rfam